RNAcentral lists this ribosomal RNA (449 nucleotides) under uncultured bacterium. RNAcentral's name for it is "partial 16S ribosomal RNA". It matches the Rfam family "Bacterial small subunit ribosomal RNA", at positions 328 to 794 of the family's 1533-position model. The record is from RNAcentral.
CUUCCAGACUCCUACGGGAGGCAGCAGUGGGGAAUAUUGCACAAUGGGGGAAACCCUGAUGCAGCGACGCCGCGUGGGUGACGAAGUAUUUCGGUAUGUAAAGCCCUAUCAGCAGGGAAGAAGAUGACAGUACCUGACUAAGAAGCCCCGGCUAACUACGUGCCAGCAGCCGCGGUAAUACGUAGGGGGCAAGCGUUAUCCGGAUUUACUGGGUGUAAAGGGAGCGUAGACGGCGAUGCAAGCCAGGAGUGAAAGCCCGGGGCCCAACCCCGGGACUGCUCUUGGAACUGCGUGACUGGAGUGCAGGAGGGGCAGGCGGAAUUCCUGGUGUAGCGGUGAAAUGCGUAGAUAUCAGGAGGAACACCGGUGGCGAAGGCGGCCUGCUGGACUGCAACUGACGUUGAGGCCCGAAAGCGUGGGGAGCAAACAGGAUUAGAUACCCGCGUAAA